Molecule: non-coding RNA, 399 nt
Organism: Calidris pugnax (ruff)
Lineage: Eukaryota; Metazoa; Chordata; Aves; Charadriiformes; Scolopacidae
Source: the annotation of a RefSeq genome assembly
AGGACCGUGAAGCUGACAGAGUCCGGAGGGGGCCUUCAGACACCCGGGGGGUCCCUCACCCUCUGCUGCAAGGGCUCCGGCUUCACCUUCAGCAGCUUCGAAAUGUUCUGGAUUCGACAGGCACCCGGGAAGGGUCUGGAGUUCGUCGCACAAAUUAGCAGCAGUGGUAGUGACACAAACUACGCGCCGUCGGUGAAGGGUCGCUUCACCAUCUCCAGGGACAACUCCCAGAGCACGGUCACGCUGCAGAUGAACAGCCUCAAGGAGGACGACACGGCCACCUACUACUGCGCCAAAGGUUAUAGUAGUGGUUGUGGUGGUCCUUAUGCUGUUGGUGGCUCCAUCCCCAUCUCCGUGUCCCCACAUCCCUGCAAAACGUCUCCAGGGAAAGGGUCGUGA